GAUGAACGCUGGCGGUAUGCUUAACACAUGCAAGUCGAACGGACUCUUCGGAGUUAGUGGCGGACGGGUGAGUAACGCGUGAGAAUCUGGCUUUGGGUUCGGGACAAUCACUGGAAACGGUGGCUAAUACCGGAUGUGCUGAGAGGUAAAAGAGAAAUUGCCUGAAGAUGAGCUCGGGUCUGAUUAGCUAGUUGGUGAGAUAAAGGCCCACCAAGGCAGCGAUCAGUAGCUGGUCUGAGAGGAUGACCAGCCACACUGAGACUGAGACACGGCACAGACUCCUAGGGGAGACAGGAGUGGAGAAUUUUCCGCAAUGGGCGAGAGCGUGACGGAGCAAUACCGCGUGGGAGAAGGAGGCUCUGGGGUUGUAAAGCUCUUUUCUUAGGGAAGGACAAAGUGACGGUACCUAAGGAAGCAGCAUCGGCUAACUCCGUG
This 435-nucleotide ribosomal RNA is filed under the name uncultured bacterium. Its description in RNAcentral is "partial 16S ribosomal RNA". It matches the Rfam family "Bacterial small subunit ribosomal RNA", at positions 28 to 507 of the family's 1533-position model. The record is from RNAcentral.